This 1012-nucleotide ribosomal RNA is filed under the name human gut metagenome. RNAcentral's name for it is "bacterial LSU rRNA". It matches the Rfam family "Bacterial large subunit ribosomal RNA", at positions 1914 to 2925 of the family's 2925-position model. The record is from RNAcentral.
GAAGCCCCAGUGAACGGCGGCCGUAACUAUAACGGUCCUAAGGUAGCGAAAUUCCUUGUCAGGUAAGUUCUGACCCGCACGAAUGGCGUAACGACUUGGGCGCUGUCUCAACAGCCCACCCGGCGAAAUUGUUGUACUGGUGAAGAAGCCAGUUACCCGCAACUAGACGGAAAGACCCCAUGGAGCUUUACUGUAGCUUAAUACUGGAAAUCGGUAAAUCAUGUACAGGAUAGGUGGGAGACUUGGAAGCCAGGGCGUCAGCUUUGGUGGAGUCACCCUUGGGAUACCACCCUUGAUUUGCUGGUUUUCUAACCUGCGGCCGUGAAUCCGGUCGGGGGACACUGUUAGGUGGGCAGUUUGACUGGGGCGGUCGCCUCCUAAAAGGUAACGGAGGCGCUCAAAGGUUCGUUCAGCACGGACGGAAACCGUGCAGUGAGUGUAAACGCAUAAACGAGCCUAACUGCGAGACCGACGGGUCGAGCAGUAACGAAAGUUGGAGUUAGUGAUCCGGCGGUAUGCAAGUGGAAGUGCCGUCGCUCAACGGAUAAAAGCUACCCUGGGGAUAACAGGCUGAUCUCCCCCAAGAGUCCACAUCGACGGGGAGGUUUGGCACCUCGAUGUCGGCUCAUCACAUCCUGGGGCUGUAUUCGGUCCCAAGGGUUCGGCUGUUCGCCGAUUAAAGUGGCACGCGAGCUGGGUUCAGAACGUCGUGAGACAGUUCGGUCCCUAUCUGUUGCGGGCGUAAGAGAUUUGAAGGGAGCUGUCCUUAGUACGAGAGGACCGGGAUGGACGUACCUCUGGUGCACCAGUUGUCCUGCCAAGGGCAUAGCUGGGUAGCUAUGUACGGACGAGAUAAACGCUGAAGGCAUCUAAGCGUGAAACUCCCCCUAAGAUUAGAUCUCUCAUUCGAAAGAAGUAAGGCACGACGUAGACUAUGUCGUUGAUAGGCCGGAGGUGGAAGCGCGGUAACGCGUGUAGCUGACCGGUACUAAUAAGCCGAGGGCUUGACCUU